GAUCCUGGCUCGGGACGAACGCUGGCGGCGCGCCUAACACAUGCAAGUCGAACGAGCGAGAGAAAGCUUGCUUUCUCGAGCGAGUGGCGAACGGGUGAGUAACGCGUGAGGAACCUGCCUCAAAGAGGGGGACAACAGUUGGAAACGACUGCUAAUACCGCAUAAGCCCACGGCUCGGCAUCGAGCAGAGGGAAAAGGAGCAAUCCGCUUUGAGAUGGCCUCGCGUCCGAUUAGCUAGUUGG
Molecule: ribosomal RNA, 242 nt
Filed under: uncultured bacterium
Lineage: Bacteria
Description: partial 16S ribosomal RNA
Rfam family: Bacterial small subunit ribosomal RNA
Source: RNAcentral